CCUACGGGAGGCAGCAGUGGGGAAUAUUGCACAAUGGGCGCAACCCUGAUGCAGCGACGCCGCGUGAGUGAAGAAGGAUUUCGGGAUGUAAAGCACUAUCAGCAGGGAAGAAGGCAGACGGUACCUUAACAAGAAGCCCCGGCGAACUACGUGCCAGCAGCAGCGGCAAUACGCAGGGGGCAAGCGGUAUCCGGAUUGAGGGGGGGGAAAGGGAUCGGAGGCGGCUGGGCAAGUCUGAAGUGAAAGCCCAGGGCUCAACCCUGGGACUGCUUUGGAAACUGGGGGGCUAGAGUGCUGGAGAGGUAAGUAGAAUUCCAAGUGUAGCGGUGAAAUGCGUAGAGAUCAGGAGGAAUACCAGUGGCGAAGGCGGCCUCCUGGACAGUAACUGACGUUGAGGUUCGAAAGCGUAGGGAGCAAACAGGAUUAGAUACCCGGGUAGUC
This 441-nucleotide ribosomal RNA is filed under the name uncultured bacterium. Its description in RNAcentral is "partial 16S ribosomal RNA". It matches the Rfam family "Bacterial small subunit ribosomal RNA", at positions 338 to 795 of the family's 1533-position model. The record is from RNAcentral.